This 253-nucleotide ribosomal RNA is filed under the name uncultured bacterium. Its description in RNAcentral is "partial 16S ribosomal RNA". It matches the Rfam family "Bacterial small subunit ribosomal RNA", at positions 524 to 776 of the family's 1533-position model. The record is from RNAcentral.
UACGGGGGGGGUAAGCGUUGUUCGGAAUUACUGGGCGUAAAGGGCUCGUAGGCGGCCAACUAAGUCAUACGUGAAAUCCCUCAGCUUAACUGGGGAACUGCGUGUGAUACUGGAUGGCUUGGAUUUGGGAGAGGGAUGCGGAAUUCCAGGUGUAGCGGUGAAAUGCGUUGAUAUCCACAGGAACUCCGGUGGCGAAGGCGGCACGCUGGACCCCAUCUGACGCUGAGGCGCGAAAGCCAGGGGAGCGAACGGG